This 600-nucleotide ribosomal RNA is filed under the name uncultured bacterium. RNAcentral's name for it is "bacterial SSU rRNA". It matches the Rfam family "Bacterial small subunit ribosomal RNA", at positions 740 to 1340 of the family's 1533-position model. The record is from RNAcentral.
CUGACGCUCAUGCACGAAAGCGUGGGUAUCGAACAGGAUUAGAUACCCUGGUAGUCCACGCGGUAAACGAUGAUAACUAGUUAUUCGGCUAAAUUGGUAGCUGAGUGACCGAGCGAAAGCGUUAAGUUAUCCACCUGGGGAGUACGCCGGCAACGGUGAAACUCAAAGGAAUUGACGGGGGCCCGCACAAGCGGAGGAACAUGUGGUUUAAUUCGAUGAUACGCGAGGAACCUUACCCGGGCUCAAACGCAUCGUGCUACGCCCUGAAAGGGGCGGUUCUUCGGACGCGAUGCGAGGUGCUGCAUGGUUGUCGUCAGCUCGUGCCGUGAGGUGUCGGCUUAAGUGCCAUAACGAGCGCAACCCCCAUCUUCAGUUGCCCCCGGGUUAAGCCGGGCACUCUGGAGAGACUGCCGGCGCAAGCUGUGAGGAAGGCGGGGAUGACGUCAAAUCAGCACGGCCCUUACGUCCGGGGCGACACACGUGUUACAAUGGCGGGGUCACAGAGGGGAGCCAGCCGGCGACGGCGAGCUGAUCCCGAAAACCCGUCUCAGUUCGGAUCGGAGUCUGCAACCCGACUCCGUGAAGCUGGAUUCGCUAGUA